GCGGGGGUGCCUGAGCCUGGUCAAAAGGGCAGGACUUAAGAUCCUGUAGCCAUAGGGCUUGCGAGGGUUCGAAUCCCUUCCCCCGCACCA
Molecule: transfer RNA, 90 nt
Filed under: Hadesarchaea archaeon DG-33-1
Lineage: Archaea; Methanobacteriati; Hadarchaeota (SeqCode); Hadarchaeia (SeqCode)
Also listed under: 1 other name
Description: tRNA-Leu
Rfam family: tRNA
About the family: Transfer RNA (tRNA) molecules are approximately 80 nucleotides in length.
Source: RNAcentral